This 119-nucleotide ribosomal RNA is filed under the name Aotus nancymaae (Ma's night monkey). Lineage: Eukaryota; Metazoa; Chordata; Mammalia; Primates; Aotidae. The record is from RNAcentral.
GUCUACGGCCAUACCACUCUGAACAUGCCUGAUCUCGUCUGAUCUUGGAAGCUAAGCAGGGUCGGGUGUGGUUUGUACUUGGAUGAGAGACCGUCUGGGAAUACCGGGUGCUGUAGGUU